This is a long non-coding RNA of Corvus hawaiiensis (hawaiian crow), 2406 nucleotides long. RefSeq lists it as uncharacterized. The transcript has 3 exons. Lineage: Eukaryota; Metazoa; Chordata; Aves; Passeriformes; Corvidae. The record is from RefSeq and is a predicted model, not a curated record.
AGCUUCUCCCUGGCAUUUCUUCACCUUUGGCUUUUCUGCUUCUAUAGCAUCUCUGGAAGACCUAAUCCCUCCUUUCAGAAAGCCUCCAGCUUCAGAAAACUCAUAAUUUUGACUCAUAAGAAGAAAACUUUCAAAGUGUAGGGCAAAGGUUUUCCCUGCCUGGAAGAUUCAGCUGGGGAAGGAUGGACCUGCUGGAGCUGCAGGGAUCUGACUGCAUUGCCUUCUGGCUGAAAAGAAAGCUGAACACAGAGUUCCCAUUUCCUAGAGCACUCCAGACACCGUAUUCAUUCAUGGGAAAAGGUGGGAACUGCAGAAUUGUGGUGUGCACUUUCAGAUCUCUCAGCUCUGUGGACAUGCUGCUCCAGGCAAACCAGCCAGGGCUGCUAGAUCCCCAAGCAGACCAGCGCCUGCAAGGAAAAAAGACACUACUGAACAUGUUAUCCUUUUUACUGGGUUCACAGAAAAAUCAAAAAUACUAAAAUAACCACAGAACCAGCCAACACAGAGCUCAUGGUCCACACGGAAGGCUUGGCCUCCUACUUUUGAGUUUGUGCUGGAGAAGGAAGGUGAUAAAUCUGGUUUUUUUGGGUCAUUCAAUAUGUAAAGUAAAUGGUGGCUGGGAAAUGUGAGAUAGAGGUAAAAAACCCAAACUCUUUCUAAAUACUGAAAUAUGUAGAUCUGUUUCAAUCCACCAAAAACAAAGGUUAGAUAGAUGUUCACAUGCAACUCUGGGGCUUAUUAAUUAGGAGAUGGAGGAAAGGAAAUAUAUAAAGCUUUGUUGUCUUAAUGUUUGAAGAUACUACAAUUUCUUUUGAGUCCUUAGAGACUACUUCUCAGCUCUUUAUUUUCUGGAAGUUCAGUAAAGUAUGUUAUUAAAUUCCAGAACUGAUAUGUAUUGCAGCACAGAAGCAGCUGGCAAUUUUGAUGGAAUAGUUGUGUUAACUGCAGUGUUCUGUGGAGACAUAAUAUAAGGAAAUAUAUUCAGGAACUCAGUUUGCUAUAUUGGAAAUGAGAAUUGGGAGCAUCACUGAAAGGAGUUGCCUCAUUCAUUUAUCAGUUUUAAUUUUAUUAACAGAUGCAAAUUACUAGUUAAACAAAUACAAAAUAAAAUGAAAAGAAGAAUGAAUUUUGUGUCAUCACUGGGCUCUUCAGUCUAAAUAUCUCACUAAAAGCAACCAAAAAGCCCUGGGUACCAGGUGCUUUUUAUCUUGGGUUUACACUACAGUGCAAUGAAAUGCUUUGGAAGGAAAUGCCUGAAGAAACCACUGUAAAACUUCAGCAUUUUCAUGUCAGUCACACAUUUCCUUGAAGGCCUGGUUUAGAUCUGUUUAAGCUCUAUUGUGUUUGGAGAGCAGAAAAAGGGUGGGGUGUUAUUAGGCAGAAUCCCUUUUAUAUGCAAAGAGUUGGAUCAAUUUGACUCUGAUUGUCUCUCUCUCCACUUUAUUGUCCCAUUACUUCAAACCCUUGACAUUAUCUUAGAGAAGAGGCUGAUUGAACUGGAGGUCUGGCACUUGUCAGUUGUGGAUAACACUGGCUUCAGUCACACAUAAAUGUGCCAUGACAGAAACAGACUGGUGAACAGAAAAAGCAAGUUUACUGCAGGCAAUAUUCUUGAGUUAGUGUAACAAAUAAUAAAGUUUGCUCUGCAAGAAAACAGUCUGAAAUACCUAACGGAGUGAUAUAUUAUCUCUUUUGCUAUCAGGAACUAUCCCUUUAGAAAUGAGCACGUUGUGCGGAGAAAAAACAAAAGAGCUGUAAUUGUAGAUACUGCUUCUGGUCUGUGAGAUAAUGAAUGAGUCUCCUGCUUGUGAACAGAAGACAUUGCUGUGUACAGAGAUACUGCUGCAGCAGUAUCGUGGUGACAUAAAUUCUUCCUUACAGAAAGGUGACAUGUAUCUUGAGUAAAAUAGCAGAAAUAGAAAUCCCAUCCCUUUGCAGUUCUCAGGUUCUUUCUAGUUGUCUAGAAAUUAGGAAUCUGAAAAAAAUUAUCUUCCAUUCAAGCUAGAGAGGGAAAAACACAAUUCAAAUGCAGACCACCCUAACUCAGAAAAAUGAAACCCAGUAUGGGUUUAUUUAUAUCCAUGUGAUGUCACUGCAACUCUGCUAUGUACGGUGUGGAAAGAAAUUAAAAACAGAAAGGACAGAAUGGUGAAAGGAAGGAAGGGAUUUUUCCUAAAGCAAAUACAACUCAAAGCAAUUUGCAUAAAUAUCUCUCCCAUGAUUUUUUAUUUAUGGCCCCGAAGUUUCUAAUUAAAUACUAAUUAAUAUUAUCACCAGAAUGGUCUCAUAUCCUCAGCUCUUCAUGGCUUUGUCACUUUGAUUAAUGCAUAGUCAUUUAUUAACUUACUUAACAAGCUGAGGUACUUCAUGACAAACCAGAUGAUAUUAUUCCCAUAACAGUCUCAU